Molecule: ribosomal RNA, 496 nt
Filed under: uncultured bacterium
Lineage: Bacteria
Description: partial 16S ribosomal RNA
Rfam family: Bacterial small subunit ribosomal RNA
Source: RNAcentral
GAUGAACGCUGGCGGCGUGCCUAAUACAUGCAAGUCGAGCGAACGGACGAGAAGCUUGCUUCUCUGAUGUUAGCGGCGGACGGGUGAGUAACACGUGGAUAACCUACCUAUAAGACUGGGAUAACUUCGGGAAACCGGAGCUAAUACCGGAUAAUAUUUUGAACCGCAUGGUUCAAAAGUGAAAGACGGUCUUGCUGUCACUUAUAGAUGGAUCCGCGCUGCAUUAGCUAGUUGGUAAGGUAACGGCUUCCAAGGCAACGAUGCAUAGCCGACCUGAGAGGGUGAUCGGCCACACUGGAACUGAGACACGGUCCAGACUCCUACGGGAGGCAGCAGUAGGGAAUCUUCCGCAAUGGGCGAAAGCCUGACGGAGCAACGCCGCGUGAGUGAUGAAGGUCUUCGGAUCGUAAAACUCUGUUAUUAGGGAAGAACAUAUGUGUAAGUAACUGCGCACAUCUUGACGGUACCUAAUCAGAAAGCCACGGCUAACUACGUG